This 254-nucleotide ribosomal RNA is filed under the name uncultured bacterium. RNAcentral describes it as "partial 16S ribosomal RNA". It matches the Rfam family "Bacterial small subunit ribosomal RNA", at positions 524 to 776 of the family's 1533-position model. The record is from RNAcentral.
UACGGAGGGGGCUAGCGUUGUUCGGAAUUACUGGGCGUAAAGCGCGCGUAGGCGGACCUGCAAGUCGGGUGUGAAACCUCCAGGCUCAACCUGGAGACGCCACCCGAUACUGCUGUGACUAGAGUCCGGUAGGGGAGCGUGGAAUUCCUGGUGUAGCGGUGAAAUGCGCAGAUAUCAGGAGGAACACCAGCGGCGAAGGCGGCGCUCUGGGCCGGAACUGACGCUGAGGAGCGAAAGCGUGGGGAGCAAACAGG